UUUUGGCUAAAGCUAAAAUUUUUCUAUAAUUAGUUAAAAAUGCUUUAUUAUUAUUAUUUAUUUGAAAUAUAAAAACCACCCAUCAUCACGAUGAUCGUCAUCCUUAAAGUAGAAGCUCUUGUUCCGGGGAGAAACCGUUUUCGCCAUCAGAAAGUGUGAACAUGCGUAGCAAACUGAGAGUCGGUCGAAUUUUAAACUAACUUCCGACUUCACAGAAAAAAAAGGGAUGGUGUUUUUUUCAGUACUAAUAAAAAGGCUAAAACUUAUUAUUUUCAGCUACAAUUCCAUUGAAAUUCAACUAAUUAAACACCAAAUUACUCAAAAAAAAAUUUUAAAAAAAACAGCUCUCCUAUAAGAAAAGAAAAACUACAGUGAAUGUUUAUCUCAUUACUAAACAAAAAUGUGCAAAAAAACAAAGCAACUAAAUUGCAAUAAAUUUGGGUCAGUUUCAAUGUUCAUCAAUGUCAUCCAAAACAAAUAAUUGAACCCCCAAAAACAAAAAGUAAGAAAGGACUCAACAAGCAAAAAUUAAACAAAAGGAUCUUAAAUUGGGUAAAUGAAAAUUACCAAAAUAGAAGAACCCAGAAACAGUUGUCAAAGAAAUAAUCUGGAUCGAAGGAGAAACGAGUUCCCAAUUGGCCAAAAAAUGGACUUAGGAACAUCGUUGUCGUUGACGGACGAAGAUGGGGAGAUGAGCUGAAUCGUUGAACAAGGAUUGAAGGUAGCCAGACGGGGACGUUUGCUACACUAAUGUCCACACUUCCCGGGGGCAGCAACCAGUUCCGGCAACGGUUUCUCCCCGAAGCAAGAGCUGCUGCUUUCGAGGACCGAAACCAUACUGGAUAUCUAGAAUUGAUGAUUAUCAUGAGGAUUGGUGAUUAGUUGCGAUUAAACAAAAAAAAAAAAUUUUGGGUCAAAUUAUAAAAUGUCAUGUGUCAAAUAGUCAAUAGAUUAAUGUGCCACAUCAGCAAUAUAUCAGUGAAUCAGCAAAAUUUUUAACUAAGUGACGAAUUUGAAUAAAAUGAUCAAAAUAGGAAUAACAGACCUUGGGUAUAGUUUAGAUGAUCUUCGAUCCUGAUAUUCCUCUUCAAUUUAUCAUCAUUGUUAUCUUCGAGCAAUUGGUUACUUUAAA
This 1132-nucleotide long non-coding RNA is filed under the name Gossypium barbadense (sea-island cotton). Its description in RNAcentral is "long non-coding RNA (GBAR_LNC013378)". Lineage: Eukaryota; Viridiplantae; Streptophyta; Magnoliopsida; Malvales; Malvaceae. The record is from RNAcentral.